This 277-nucleotide non-coding RNA is filed under the name Sarcophilus harrisii (Tasmanian devil). Its description in RNAcentral is "Eukaryotic small subunit ribosomal RNA". It matches the Rfam family "Eukaryotic small subunit ribosomal RNA", at positions 1194 to 1415 of the family's 1831-position model. The record is from Rfam by way of RNAcentral. Lineage: Eukaryota; Metazoa; Chordata; Mammalia; Dasyuromorphia; Dasyuridae.
UUUGACUCAAUAUGAGAAAACUCAUCGAGGAUGUAUGUGAAAAGGACUGACAGAUUGAUAGCUCUCAGUUCUAUGGAUGGUAGUAUGAGAUCAUUAGUUGGUGGAGAUAUUUUUCUGGUUAAUUCUGAUAAUGAAGGAGAAUCUGAUGAUCUACUAGUUACUCCUAUUUUACUCCUAUCUAUAAAAGCAGCUAACUUUUGGAAAUCAGCAACCAGUCCCACUCUAAAUACUUGAGACCUUGGUAUACCAAUAAACUCCUUUUAUCUUAUUUCUUGAG